GACGAACGCUGGCGGCGUGCUUAACACAUGCAAGUCGAACGGAAAGGCCCUGCUUUUGUGGGGUGCUCGAGUGGCGAACGGGUGAGUAACACGUGAGUAACCUGCCCUUGACUUUGGGAUAACUUCAGGAAACUGGGGCUAAUACCGGAUAGGAGCUCCUGCUGCAUGGUGGGGGUUGGAAAGUUUCGGCGGUUGGGGAUGGACUCGCGGCUUAUCAGCUUGUUGGUGGGGUAGUGGCUUACCAAGGCUUUGACGGGUAGCCGGCCUGAGAGGGUGACCGGCCACACUGGAAGGGGGGCAAGGUCCAGAGUACUACGGGAGGCAGCAGGAGGGAACCGGCGGCAAGGGGCGGAAGCGGGACGGAGCAAGGGCGAGUGAGUGACGAAGGUCUGCGGAGCGGAAAACUGUGCUAGUAGGGAAGAACAAAUGUGUAAGUAAAUAUGCACGUCGUGACGGUACCUGAUAAGAAAGCCACGGCUAACUACGUG
This 488-nucleotide ribosomal RNA is filed under the name uncultured bacterium. RNAcentral's name for it is "partial 16S ribosomal RNA". It matches the Rfam family "Bacterial small subunit ribosomal RNA", at positions 28 to 507 of the family's 1533-position model. The record is from RNAcentral.